RNAcentral lists this ribosomal RNA (897 nucleotides) under Bacillus safensis. Its description in RNAcentral is "bacterial SSU rRNA". It matches the Rfam family "Bacterial small subunit ribosomal RNA", at positions 1 to 871 of the family's 1533-position model. The record is from RNAcentral. Lineage: Bacteria; Bacillati; Bacillota; Bacilli; Caryophanales; Bacillaceae.
CAUAUUCUUUCAAUAGUUUUGAUAUCAUGGCUCAGGACGAACGCUGGCGGCGUGCUAAUACAUGCAAGUCGAGCGGACAGAUAGGGAGCUUGCUCCCGGAUGUUAGCGGCGGACGGGUGAGUAACACGUGGGUAACCUGCCUGUAAGACUGGGAUAACUCCGGGAAACCGGAGCUAAUACCGGAUAGUUCCUUGAACCGCAUGGUUCAAGGAUGAAAGACGGUUUCGGCUGUCACUUACAGAUGGACCCGCGGCGCAUUAGCUAGUUGGUGGGGUAAUGGCUCACCAAGGCGACGAUGCGUAGCCGACCUGAGAGGGUGAUCGGCCACACUGGGACUGAGACACGGCCCAGACUCCUACGGGAGGCAGCAGUAGGGAAUCUUCCGCAAUGGACGAAAGUCUGACGGAGCAACGCCGCGUGAGUGAUGAAGGUUUUCGGAUCGUAAAGCUCUGUUGUUAGGGAAGAACAAGUGCGAGAGUAACUGCUCGCACCUUGACGGUACCUAACCAGAAAGCCACGGCUAACUACGUGCCAGCAGCCGCGGUAAUACGUAGGUGGCAAGCGUUGUCCGGAAUUAUUGGGCGUAAAGGGCUCGCAGGCGGUUUCUUAAGUCUGAUGUGAAAGCCCCCGGCUCAACCGGGGAGGGUCAUUGGAAACUGGGAAACUUGAGUGCAGAAGAGGAGAGUGGAAUUCCACGUGUAGCGGUGAAAUGCGUAGAGAUGUGGAGGAACACCAGUGGCGAAGGCGACUCUCUGGUCUGUAACUGACGCUGAGGAGCGAAAGCGUGGGGAGCGAACAGGAUUAGAUACCCUGGUAGUCCACGCCGUAAACGAUGAGUGCUAAGUGUUAGGGGGUUUCCGCCCCUUAGUGCUGCAGCUAACGCAUUAAGCAACUUCA